This 397-nucleotide ribosomal RNA is filed under the name uncultured bacterium. RNAcentral's name for it is "bacterial SSU rRNA". It matches the Rfam family "Bacterial small subunit ribosomal RNA", at positions 28 to 426 of the family's 1533-position model. The record is from RNAcentral.
GACGAACGCUGGCGGCGUGCUUAACACAUGCAAGUCGAGCGGUAAGGCCCUUUCGGGGGUACACGAGCGGCGAACGGGUGAGUAACACGUGGGUGACCUGCCCUCAGCUCUGGGAUAAGCCUGGGAAACCGGGUCUAAUACCGGAUAUGACUCCAUGACGCAUGUUGUGGGGUGGAAAGCCUUGUGCGGCUGAGGAUGGGCCCGCGGCCUAUCAGCUUGUUGGUGGGGUGAUGGCCUACCAAGGCGACGACGGGUAGCCGGCCUGAGAGGGCGACCGGCCACACUGGGGCUGAGACACGGCCCAGACUCCUACGGGAGGCAGCAGUGGGGAAUAUUGGACAAUGGGCGCAAGCCUGAUCCAGCGAUGCCGCGUGUGUGAAGAAGGCCUGCGGGUUGU